AAUCAACGCUGGCGGCGUGCCUAACACAUGCAAGUCGAACGCGAAAGGGACUUCGGUCCUGAGUAGAGUGGCGAACGGGUGAGUAACGCGUGGGUGACCUACCCUCGAGUGGGGGAUAACGUUCCGAAAGGGACGCUAAUACCGCAUGACAUUCCUGGUUUGAAGACCGGGAAAUCAAAGCCGGGGACCGCAAGGCCUGGCGCUAGAGGAGGGGCCCGCGUCUGAUUAGCUAGUUGGCGGGGUAACGGCCCACCAAGGCGACGAUCAGUAGCCGGCCUGAGAGGGCGGACGGCCACACUGGGACUGAGACACGGCCCAGACUCCUACGGGAGGCAGCAGUGGGGAAUUGUUCGCAAUGGGCGCAAGCCUGACGACGCAACGCCGCGUGGAGGAUGAAGGUCUUCGGAUUGUAAACUCCUGUUAAUCGGAACGAAAAGCUUCAACCCAAUACGUUGGAGACUGACGGUACCGGUUGAGGAAGCCACGGCUAA
Molecule: ribosomal RNA, 491 nt
Filed under: uncultured bacterium
Lineage: Bacteria
Description: bacterial SSU rRNA
Rfam family: Bacterial small subunit ribosomal RNA
Source: RNAcentral